GACGAGCGCUGGCGGCGUGCUUAACACAUGCAAGUCGAACGGUGAAGCGCCUUCCUUUUUGGUGGGUGUGGAUGAGUGGCGAACGGGUGAGUAACACGUGAGUAACCUGCCCCCUUCUUCUGGAUAACCGCAUGAAAGUGUGGCUAAUACGGGAUAUUCUGGGUCUGUCGCAUGAUGGGUCUGGGAAAGAUAUUGUUUCGGUGGGGGAUGGGCUCGCGGCCUAUCAGCUUGUUGGUGGGGUGAUGGCCUACCAAGGCGGUGACGGGUAGCCGGCCUGAGAGGGUGGACGGUCACACUGGGACUGAGACACGGCCCAGACUCCGACGGGAGGCAGCAGUGGGGAAUAUUGCACAAUGGGCGCAAGCAUGAUGCAGCGACGCCGCGGGAGGGAUGGAGGCCUGCGGGUUGUGAACCUCUUUCGCCAGUGAAGCAGGCCUGCCUCGUUUGUGGGUGGGUUGACGGUAGCUGGAUAAGAAGCGCCGGCUAACUACGUG
RNAcentral lists this ribosomal RNA (494 nucleotides) under uncultured bacterium. RNAcentral's name for it is "partial 16S ribosomal RNA". It matches the Rfam family "Bacterial small subunit ribosomal RNA", at positions 28 to 507 of the family's 1533-position model. The record is from RNAcentral.